RNAcentral lists this ribosomal RNA (406 nucleotides) under uncultured bacterium. Its description in RNAcentral is "partial 16S ribosomal RNA". It matches the Rfam family "Bacterial small subunit ribosomal RNA", at positions 30 to 526 of the family's 1533-position model. The record is from RNAcentral.
AUUGAACGCUGGCGGCAGGCCUAACACAUGCAAGUCGAACGAGUGGCGGACGGGUGAGUAAUGUCUGGGAAACUGCCCGAUGGAGGGGGAUAACUACUGGAAACGGUAGCUAAUACCGCAUACCAUCGGAUGUGCCCAUAUGGGAUUAGCUAGUAGGUGGGGUAACGGCUCACCUAGGCGACGAUCCCUAGCUGGUCUGAGAGGAUGACCAGCCACACGGGAACUGAGACACGGGCCAGACUCCGACGGGAGGCAGCAGUGGGGAAUAUUGCACAAUGGGCGCAAGCCUGAUGCAGCCAUGCCGCGUGUAUGAAGAAGGCCUUAGGGUUGUAAAGUACUUUCAGCGAGGAGGCGUUACUCGCAGAAGAAGCACCGGCUAACGCCGUGCCAGCAGCCGCGGUAAUUC